UCAAACCGGCGUAUUCAGCUAUGGAGCAUGCGCACAGCUCAUUGUGAUUGUGAGCAUGCGUACUGGGAGGGAUAUCCGGAAUGAAAUGGUUCUCCAUGAGAGCCACAAGCGAACAUUCAACAACUUGAAAACUGGAUUGAAAAUGAGAGACAGAGCAGCCACUGCAGAAGCUUCCAAAAUCACUCUGCACUUUCUUGAACUGCUGCAAUCCACGUGGUGAUGUAGCUCCCAUGUUGCAAAUUGGUUGAUGAUAUCCUUCGAAGAACAGGAGAUCUGAAGUGGACACAUUACUCCAGAAGAGGCCUCACUGAUGUUCUGCACAAUUUCAACAUAACGUCCCACCUCCUAUACUCUAAAGGCCUGAGCAGUGAAGGCAAGUAGGCUAAACUCCGACCUAACCACCCUUUCUACAUGUGACGCCAACCUCACAGAAUUCAGGGCCUGAACCUUGAGGUCUCUCUUUUCGACAACACUAACCCCAAGGCCCUACAUUUAAUUGUACAAAUACUGAUCUUGUUUGUUUUACCAAAAUGAAAUACCUCGCCUUUAUCCAAAUUAAACACCACCUGCCAUUCCUCAGCCUCUUAACCCUAUAAAUCAAGAUCUCUUUGUAAUCUUGGACAUCCUCACAUCCUUCUUAAAUCUGCCCCCUCUCACUUUAAAUCUGUACACUCUUUUCCAUUCCCCAUCCCUGGGAAAAAGACGCCGUGCAUUCUUCCUGUCUAAGCCCCUCAUGAUUUUAUCCACCUCAGUAAGGUCACCGCUCGUUCUCUUACAUUCCAAGGAAUAAAGCCCAAUUCUGGACAACCUCUCCUCAGAACUCAGGCCUACUAUUCCUAGCAACAUCCUUGUAACUCUUCUUUGCACGUUUUCCAGUUUAACUGUGCCUUUCCUGUAACAGGGUGACCAAAACUGUA
Molecule: long non-coding RNA, 917 nt
Organism: Stegostoma tigrinum
Lineage: Eukaryota; Metazoa; Chordata; Chondrichthyes; Orectolobiformes; Stegostomatidae
Exons: 3
Source: RefSeq, a predicted model, not a curated record